CGUAGAGGGGAAAAUGAAAAUGUGUGUUGUCAGUGUCAUGUUGAUCGUGCGAGUAUUAGUAACUUGUUUUUAAGAUUUUUUGUUGUGGUGUUGGAUCAUUGUUUUGAACGACAGUAUCGUGUAUUAUUUUUUAUAUUUGUCUCGAUGAAGGUCGUAUAAAAAAAACUCGUUAGAAGUGAUUAAUGCGUUCGCGAUGACUGAUCCUUUUUAUUCAAAUUUAAUCGUGAGAAAUCUUUAUCGAAAAAACUACCUCGUAGAACUUUUUAAAUGUUCUCCUUUAUACUUGGCAACAUGUUCCACCCACCAAGUGGCCAAUUUUCUAGGAUUAAUCGGUAAAUCUCGUAGCAACGUGCUCCUCUUUUUCGCCGCUGUUCGAUACGAAUUGUUGUGAAUCGCAGCCACUUUGAGAAUCCCAUCGCGAAGACUCCCGAUGGAUAUUCCGGCCAAAUCCAUCACCAAAGCGUAACCCAAUUUUUCUGCAACGAAAGAAAUUAUAUCUUAAACCUUGUGCCGCGUUUCCAUCGUGAUCACAGAAAACGGGCAAAACGAGAGUGGGAGCAGCGUGAUAAGCGGCCUCGUGCAGAGAUAGAAGUCCACCGUGGGAGACAAACGCUCGAAGCUUCGAAUGGCCUAAUAGCUCUUGCUGCGGCCACCAUGCCGCCGUUCUGACGUUCGAUGGCAGAUCUUUGAUCUUCAUACCUUCCCAUUUCCAUAUAACGUUGCACGGAAGCGUGGCAAAGGCUGCCACGAAGAUUUGACGAAGCGCCUCGGGCAUGCCUGAAGCGCGGACCGACGAACCCAUGGAAACGAAGAUGAAACCUGCGCCAACGUUUCGCCAUUAUACUUUGGAAUUAGACGAAAAUGACCUAUUCGGUAUCGCGGAUCGAUCCGUGGGAAAAAGACAAAGUAAUACAUGAUAGUGGGCACGCCCUCGCCGUGGAGAACUCCAAGAAGGCACUCGGGGAAGGCUCCGUCCACCACGGCAACGUCCCAUCGUUUACGAGAAUCGGCUUUGCCCCUUCUCAGCCAGGCUACCGAUAUUUCGUCCCGAA
This is a long non-coding RNA of Apis dorsata (giant honeybee), 1052 nucleotides long. RefSeq lists it as uncharacterized. Lineage: Eukaryota; Metazoa; Arthropoda; Insecta; Hymenoptera; Apidae. The record is from RefSeq and is a predicted model, not a curated record. The transcript is spliced from 4 exons.